This 451-nucleotide ribosomal RNA is filed under the name uncultured bacterium. RNAcentral's name for it is "bacterial SSU rRNA". It matches the Rfam family "Bacterial small subunit ribosomal RNA", at positions 335 to 799 of the family's 1533-position model. The record is from RNAcentral.
ACUCCUACGGGAGGCAGCAGUGGGGAAUAUUGCACAAUGGGCGCAAGCCUGAUGCAGCAACGCCGCGUGAGCGAUGAAGGCCUUCGGGUCGUAAAGCUCUGUCCUCAAGGAAGAAUAAAUGACGGUACUUGAGGAGGAAGCCCGGGCUAACUACGUGCCAGCAGCCGCGGUAAUACGUAGGGGGCAAGCGUUAUCCGGAAUCACUGGGGCGUAAAGGGGUGCGUAGGCGGUUUUUCAAGUCAGAAGUGAAAGGCUAUGGCUCAACCAUAGUAAGCUUUUGAAACUGUUAAACUUGAGUGCAGGAGAGGAAAGUGGAAUUCCUAGUGUAGAGGUGAAAUUCGUAGAUAUUAGGAGGAACACCAGUGGCGAAGGCGACUUUCUGGACUGUAACUGACGCUGAGGCACGAAAGCGUGGGGAGCGAACAGGAUUAGAUACCCUGGUAGCACAGAG